UACGUAGGUGGCAAGCGUUAUCCGGAUUUACUGGGUGUAAAGGGCGUGUAGGCGGGACUGCAAGUCAGAUGUGAAAACCAUGGCUCAACCUGUGGCCUGCAUUUGAAACUGUAGUUCUUGAGUACUGGAGAGGCAGACGGAAUUCCUAGUGUAGCGGUGAAAUGCGUAGAUAUUAGGAGGAACACCAGUGGCGAAGGCGGUCUGCUGGACAGCAACUGACGCUGAGGCGCGAAAGCGUGGGGAGCAAACAGG
RNAcentral lists this ribosomal RNA (252 nucleotides) under uncultured bacterium. Its description in RNAcentral is "partial 16S ribosomal RNA". It matches the Rfam family "Bacterial small subunit ribosomal RNA", at positions 524 to 776 of the family's 1533-position model. The record is from RNAcentral.